This 5360-nucleotide long non-coding RNA is filed under the name Astyanax mexicanus (Mexican tetra). RNAcentral describes it as "lncRNA (ENSAMXG00005022172.1)". Lineage: Eukaryota; Metazoa; Chordata; Actinopteri; Characiformes; Acestrorhamphidae. The record is from RNAcentral.
CACAAACACACACUGAAAUACACACAGGAAAUAAACUCAGGCUCAUAAAGUCAACUGUAGCCCCUUCAUUUUCACUUCCGCUCAGCGUAACUACAACGUCGGACUGAAGCUUUUACACAGAUCUUGGUGAAGAUGGCUGAAGAGUGGUUGAGCAGUAGCCUGAAACUCUGUCAGCUGACAACUAGUCCAAAUACUGAGACCUCUCAUGUCUGGGAUCCAGUGGAAGCAAGCUUUAACACCCAGUCAUACCCUCAACCUGAUUAUGACCAGUCAUCUAUUUUCACGACACUGGAGGCAUACAGCAGUGCCUUGGAUGAGACACAGGCUAGAAGAUCAGAUGUUGAGAAUCUAAAACCCAAGCCGGUAGAGGCAGACAUUAUUCACCAAUUUGCUGACAUGUUAGCUGUAGAUAUAUUGGAUGCUACAGUGAGGAGAAGAGGCACUCAAUUCAAUACUGACAGAAUGGAAAUCACUGAUGUGCCUGAAACAACCAAAUGGACAAUUAGUGACCAGGAAAUGCUUGCUAAGAAGUUAGCGUCUGAGAUCUUUGAGAGUGCACUGGAGGAGUUAGCCCAGCACAGUGGCCUCACAGGUGGAAGAAGUGAAUUUUUGCAAGAACAGAUCAGUGAGAAAGAUCUCCACUGUGACCCAUAUUCAUCCAUGCACUGCUGUGACCAUGAAGAGCCUGACAUGGAAGUCGAUUAUUCCAAGAUGGAAGAAAAUGAAAGCAAACAACCUCAUGAGAGGCUUUUCAACGAUCCAGGUUCUAGAGCCCAGGGUCACUCUGAAUCAGACUUCACUGCAGCAUACUCUAACACACUGAGUGAUAUGGCUAACAUGGGCUCUCUUGACUACCCUGAUGCUCCACCAAGCACCCCGUUGCUCCCAGAGAUGAUGAAGAGUCGAGCUAGCUUCACUAGGAAGUUGAAAGGAGGAUUAGCAAUGGAGUUCCUACCAUCACCUCCUCCUCCAACCCCAAAAGAUCAGCAAUCUGAAUCCUUAUCUGAGGACAAGAUGACAGAAACGGUCUCGGACAAAUCCGAGUUCAUGGUGCGAUUGAUGCGCUCACUGUCGUUAGCAUGCUCACAGCAUGGAGAAAAGGACACUGAGGGGCAGGAUUCUGGGAUAAUUGGGAUGGAAGAUGAAGGCAAGCCUCAAAACAGGAUUUCCACACUGUCAGACUAUGCAGCCUGGCUGUCUGAGGAUAUCAUCAACUGCAUCACUGCAGCAAAUCCUGACUCCAGAGUAAACAGAGAUGCACCUGUCAGAGAUGUGCAGCUCCUGGCCCACCAUUUGGCUCAGGAGAUCAUUAUAAUGUCUGUAGCGGAGGUGAUGGGAACCAAGAGAGUGGACAGAAAAAACGAGCAAAAUAGUCACAUGUCAAACGCGGUGGAUGGAAUGGCAUCCUGUGUGGAGGCCAGCGUGGAGAAGGCAACCCCACCAUUAGGUGACAUUUUACUGCCAAGUUUAAGCCCUCCUGUCCAAGAUAUGGAGGUGCUGAGAGCCUUGGCUGGGAGGCUAAUUGCGCAGACUCUGGUUCAGGCUGUCUCCGAGCUGGAAAAAGGAAUAAUACAACGUGCCACAAGACAACAGCUUCCAGGUGAAGCAUCAGAAGCAGUGCCAUCUGAAGCAAGAAAAGUUCAAGGCCGUGAUUUGUGUCUGAACACCACCACCACCACCAUGUCCAAACAAACCACAAGCACUCAAUGCUGUAAUGGGGAAUCAGUGCAGAACUACAUCAUGUCUGAUUCCAGAACUGUGACGUCAACAGCGGAUUUCUCCUUUGCUGAGAAGAUUGCAUGUGAAGUGCUUAAGUGCUCCAUGCAAGAAGCUUCCAACUCCCUCUCAAGGUCCAAUCAAAUUGCUGUUGAUUCAGAGAGACUCAGUACCUCAGACACUGCUCUGGGUGGCACGGAACAAACUGUUCUGAAGGGCUUUAUUCCUGAUAAGUCGUGUCAAGAUGUUCAAGAGUUACAGUGUAUCCUCCUCUGGGCUGCAGCCUCCCACACCAAUGUCUCAGUUUUACAGCUGGAUGUGUCUGACACUCAUAUUCAGCAACAGCUCUGCAGCCUCUCUCUGAAGGCCCAGUUUCACAGCUGGACUGUUGAGGACCUGCUGGUAUCUGUCCUCCAGUACUGUGAAGAUCCGCAGACCGCCAGCAGAGGGCAGCGUAAGAGUGACAGGUCUCUCCUGGGGCAUCUACUGCUGCUCUGAGUGAGCUAACUUUAGCCUCACACAGUCAAGAAAGACUCUAGAUCUGCAUGGUGGACAGCCUGAAAUAGCCUGCAUUAGAUUUUUGUAAUAGAAGCUUCUUCCAAUGCACUGCACUGCAGAACAUCAGCCCCAAGCGCUUACAGACGGACAUCAGACAUCAACUGCUCACAGCUGAGCGUCAGUCAAGGUUGAAAGCUAAAGCUAUGGAUAAUUCUGGCUAAUGUGAAAUAUGCACCUGAAAUCAACAUGCUGGGAACACUGAACACAUGGCUCGAGCUGAAUCAAGCCUUCUACAGGCCUGCUGGCAGAGCACGAGGCUGACCCUGGAACAAAUUCUCGAACCGUAUGACUUUCACCAUUACACAGCCAGUUGUGGCGCAGUGUAACACCCAUCUGGACACAACUGGGAGGAAACAAGAGUCAAGCGCCAGCAACAUGAUGAGCAUCUGCUUGCGACCGCCCACAUAACUCUCACCUUACAUUAAUAUAGAGCGACAGAAUAAGGAUGCAAUACAGAUGGCUGUUCAGACGAGUUCAGACUGACUUCGCUGAUUUUCAGACAUUAAUAUGGAUUGAGGACACGGGCCUGAUCUCAAACUGAAUCAAUCCCAGUCCAUGGUAAAAGGGGUCACCUCCAGCAGCACAGCACCCCAACAACUUGAAUUUUGGAUAUAACCACUCUGUAUUAUGCAAGAAGUGAAGCGUUGUCAACAUCAGCAGUAAUCAAGAAACUCAGUUAAGACAUGCCAUAAAAGCAGCAUUGCUAAAAUACAGCGUGACGCCAUCAUGCUCGGCCUGGUGAUUGAAAGGGCUGUUAUGAAGAGCGCUUUGGAGACUGUAAAAGCAGACUUUUUACAGCAUCCCAUUAAUACUCCCAGAGCACAGAUACCUAACAUGGCAGGAAUGUGCUUUAGUGAACUCUUGCCUCCCACUCUCUCCCACUCUUGGCCACCGCUGCUCAAAUGUAACAGCAACUACACACACUCUCACACACAUACAAACACACACACACACUUUCACUUACACUUACACACUCACUCACACACAUACAUACUCAGGGGUGCUGACAUCGCAGCUGUGGUCCAGAGAAGACACAAUGGGUUUCGGUCCAGCCCUGUUACAGCAUCUGGAGAAGUAUUUGUUCCAGCAUUUAAGGGUCACAAGCUGCCACAAAAGAGAGGAGAAGGAGCAGUAAGAAAACGAGUAAGAAAAUGAAUAAGAAAGGCAGGCCGCAGAUGGACAAAGAGAGAGAAAAAAAAGAAAAAAGAGAGAAGGAUAGGGUAAUUACGACACAGUUUAUGCGUCCAGAGCUGAAUGGAUCGCAGGGGUUCUGGAAAAUCUUCCAGCUCCGAUCCCUCGGCGUCUCCCCAGGGCUGCAACACAUCCAUUUAUUUUUCUCCUUCAAGAGCCAGAAAUAUGCACGGUACACACAAAGACCACCCCCCACCCACUCACUGGCGCGGGCCUCGUGGCACCGGGAUUCAUUUAAUACACACAUUCUCUCGCAGCGCCAGUUAAUCAGGGCUCCCAACACACUGCCACACUUCAUUCGGGUCAGCGAUGAUGGAGAACAAGCCUUUGUGUUUGUGUAAUUACAGGUACAGGUGACUGAAAAGAGUCCAAAAGGACCCAUGCAGAGCGAAGAAAAGAAAUAUUACCAAAGUGCAACCAGAGGAUAUUAUGGGGAGUUCUGUAUGUUUGGCUGCCUGAAGCUAAUUUGCUGCAUAAAGCUGAAAAAAAAGACUUUACACUUUACAUGUGUUGCACGUGUAGUGACUGAGAGCUGCAGACUCCUGCUGCACAGGUUUAUGUGUUCAGGUGAUGAUUAGGCUGUUGAUUUUAAGGCUACGAGAUAUACAAUAUAUACAGAGUUUGUACUGAUUCUUUGUAUUUUUUUUUUUCAAAGUAAAUUAAUACAAUUCUUUAAGGAAAUGCAGUCAUAUCUAAGUGUGUUUCUAAUGUAGGUACAUGUUAACAAUCCUUGUAAUAACAGAACUAUCGACUAUUAACUAUAUAUCAUCACUAUAAUAGCAUAACGUACUCUUGUGUGGUUAUACAGUACUAGUCACAAGUUUGGAUGCAACUUCAGUUAUGUGGUUUUUCAUCAUUUAAAUCAUCAUUUCUGCAUAGUAGAUAAAAACAAAAGUCAUCCAAACUAUUAAGAAAAAAAUACCGGAAUAUGUUUUAUAUUUUAGUUACUUCUAAGUAGGAACCUCUUGCUAAGAUGACAGCUUUGCACACUUUAUGAGGUAGAGUCACCUGAUAUAGCUUUCAGUUAACAGCUGUGCUAAACUUGUCAAGAGUUUAUUGCUUGGAUUUCUAGCCUUUCUAAUGUUUGAGAGCAAAAGUUGUAAAGAGGUAAAGUUGGUAUACAGAAAAUAACUCUAUUUGAGUAAUGUUCUAAUCCAUAUUAUGGCAAGAACCACUUAAUUAAACUAAGUCUUAGUUUAUUUAAAAAUUUUAAAGACUAUCAAAUACGUUAUGAUAAAAAUACGUUAUCUCAUCAGAACUGCCCCAGAAAAAAAAGACCAAGAGUUUCUCUGUUGCACAAGAUAAGUUCAUCAGAGUUACCAGGAGCACUUUGUAGUUCUAUAGGUCCUGUAUCUAUUUAUCUACAAACCUUAAUAUCCUCCUUGCAUCCUGUUCUACAAUGAUCAGGACCCCACAGGAUAGACCACCUCAGAGCAGUUAUUACUGUAUUUGGGUGGUGGGUUAUUUUCAGCACUGCUGUGGUGGCGGUGGUGUGUACAUGGUAGUGUUAUACCAUAGUAGUUACAUUGUUAUUGCAUAGACUGUUCACGUGUAAAUACAUAGUUAUUACAGAUACUGACUAUAAAGUGGAAAUUAGUUGUUGAAUAUUUCACAUUGAUGUAUUAUUUGUAAAUCUAUUUGCACUGCCUUGAUUUAUUAGUAUUAAUAUCUCCAUUCAAAUUCUUAAUAUGUAUGCUACCAAUAUAUUUCAAACAUGUUGUACUUGUAAAAUCUAUUCAAAUGAAAUAGAUAUUUCAGAUUAUAAAUGACUUAUUCAUUCAUCCUCCUAAAUGUCUCACCUGUAGAGGUCAAUUUUUAAUAAGAUUUAGGGGUACUAAACUGUGGAAUGGGUUUUCCCUUCAUCAAAAUAAUAAAAAAAACUUAUCCAUGAAACA